GAUGGCUCCCACGUCCAAGGGAUGCAGCAGGCGCGAAAAUUGUCCACUCUUUUGAGAGGAGACAGUUAUGAAACGUGAGUAGAAGGGUCGAGUGUAAAAACCUUGACGUGAAGCAAUUGGAGGGCAAGUUUUGGUGCCAGCAGCCGCGGUAAUUCCAACUCCAAGAGUGUCUAUGGUGGAUGCUGCAGUUAAAGGGUCCGUAGUCGUAGAUGCAAUUAAAAGGUGGUGUUAAAAGCCAUUGAGUUUGUUGAGAGUAGCGGAACGGAUAGGGAGCAUGGUAUAGGUGGGCAAAGAAUGAAAUCUCAAGACCCCACCUGGACCAACGGAGGCGAAAGCGAUGCUCUUAGACGUAUCUGGGGAUCAAGGACGAAGGCUAGAGUAUCGAAAGUGAUUAGACACCGCUGUAGUUCUAGCAGUAAACUAUGCCGACAAUGCUGGGUGUUGCGAGAGCGAUGCUUGGUGUGGGAGAAAUCUUAGUUUUCGGGCUCUGGGGAUAGUACGCUCGCAAGGGUGAAACUUAAAGCGAAAUUGACGGAAGGACACUACCAGGAGUGGAUUGUGCUGCUUAAUUUAACUCAACGCGGGAAAACUUACCAGGGUCAAGUCUAUCGUAGAUUGGAGACAUGAGGUAGACAAGAGUGGUGCAUGGCCGUUGGAAAUUGAUGGGGCGACUUUUAGCUUAAGUGCUGGAACCAGUGAGAUCUUCUAGACAGGUGUUAUUUAGGCACAGGAGGGAGAAGGCAAUAACAGGUCCGUGAUGCCCUUAGAUAUCCUGGGCAGCAAGCGCAAUACAAUAUCUCUUGAGAAGACAAAGCAAUUUGAGAUGAGUAGGAUUAGCUUUUGUAAAUAAGCUAUGAAUGAGGAAUUCCUAGUAACAGUGUCUCAUCAAGGCAUUGUGAAUGUGUCCCUGUUC
RNAcentral lists this ribosomal RNA (913 nucleotides) under Ecytonucleospora hepatopenaei. RNAcentral describes it as "SSU rRNA". It matches the Rfam family "Microsporidia small subunit ribosomal RNA", at positions 261 to 1181 of the family's 1311-position model. The record is from RNAcentral. Lineage: Eukaryota; Fungi; Microsporidia; Enterocytozoonidae.